Molecule: ribosomal RNA, 497 nt
Filed under: uncultured bacterium
Lineage: Bacteria
Description: partial 16S ribosomal RNA
Rfam family: Bacterial small subunit ribosomal RNA
Source: RNAcentral
GAUGAACGCUGGCGGCGUGCCUAAUACAUUCAAGUCGAGCGAACAGACGAGGAGCUUGCUCCUCUGACGUUAGCGGCGGACGGGUGAGUAACACGUGGAUAACCUACCUAUAAGACUGGGAUAACUUCGGGAAACCGGAGCUAAUACCGGAUAAUAUAUUGAACCGCAUGGUUCAAUAGUGAAAGACGGUUUUGCUGUCACUUAUAGAUGGAUCCGCGCCGCAUUAGCUAGUUGGUAAGGUAACGGCUUACCAAGGCAACGAUGCGUAGCCGACCUGAGAGGGUGAUCGGCCACACUGGAACUGAGACACGGUCCAGACUCCUACGGGAGGCAGCAGUAGGGAAUCUUCCGCAAUGGGCGAAAGCCUGACGGAGCAACGCCGCGUGAGUGAUGAAGGUCUUCGGAUCGUAAAACUCUGUUAUUAGGGAAGAACAAAUGUGUAAGUAACUAUGCACGUCUUGACGGUACCUAAUCAGAAGGCCACGGCUAACUACGUG